Poecilia latipinna (sailfin molly) is the source of this 257-nucleotide long non-coding RNA. RefSeq lists it as uncharacterized. The transcript has 3 exons. NCBI's taxonomy places the organism in Eukaryota, Metazoa, Chordata, Actinopteri, Cyprinodontiformes, Poeciliidae. The record is from RefSeq and is a predicted model, not a curated record.
ACUUGUGUAUUUUUCUGAUCAAGUCAAUAAUUGUGAGAUAACACACAGUGUCUUUUCACAGACUGAAAGAAAACUGCUCACCAGCGUUCUUUGGCUGAGUACCCAGACAUUGCCUCCAAAUUCUGCUCAGUGAGAGAGAAGUGGACCCAAACACCUGCCUUCCUGGUGAGUGGAUGUUCCAACCUGGAUCAGCCGAGCUGUCACAGCUGAUCCAACCUGACUCACAGACAAUUUGAAUAAAAUCAUAUCUACAAACA